CUGCAACCUUCCUGCAUACUGUAACCAGAUAUCCCCACCAUUUGUUGUCGCUGCAGUGAUCCACAGGUCACGAGGAGUUUGGAGACGAUCCCAGCUGCCGUAUGGCAAAAAAGUGCGGUAAAGUCUGGACAUGUUGCCAGUCUACUGCAGGACAAAGGUAGACCUAUAACCAUUCACACCAACAUUCAGACCUAUCACCAAUUUAGAAUCACCAGUUCUUCUAAUGGGUUUACUGAGCUUGGACUGUGGGAGGAAGCAUAAGUACCUGGAUGAAACCCACGCAAACAGAUCAUUCACCACAUGGAGAAACCGUGGAGCCACUGGAGGAGACGUCAAGUGGACUGAACUGCAGGCCUCUUGUCAGGGUGCCCAUAGUAUGCGAGCAACCUUUCAACGCAACGCUUUUGUAGGGUAAAAAUGCAGAAUGAAUAGUUAUUCAUGUAGCGUGUUAGGUGGGAAAGAAAUACAGCCUGGUUAUUUUGCAUUAAGGGCUUUGGUAUUUAUAGUGGUGUGAAAUAAUGUGAAACACAGUCUAAUAUCCUCGGGGAUUUAGCAUAAAAAAUACAUGAGAAAUAAACCUUUUCUUGUGUUUCGUGCACAGAAACUACUAGCUUCAAAACAGCAAAAUAUUUAGAAAUAAAAAAACUGUGGAUCCUAAUUGUCACUCGUGUCUCUUAUUCUUAUUGCCUUCUAUUGUCAGAUAUAAAAGACUCAAGCUAAAGUCAUAUCAGCCCAGCAGCACCAGCAGAUUUUCUAUGGCUUAUUUUACUUAAAAAGUCAUCUUUUUACACAAGUUAUCCUCUCAUUCUGAGCAAAUCAGGGUUAAAUACCGUGAAACUAGUAGCCUCUCCGCUUUUGUACUCUUGUGCCAGAAAAGAAAAAGUCCCCCCACGUCUGGGGACAUGCUUUCUUCUAAUUGGCUCGGAGAUCUGGGGCUCCUUAGAAGCGAGGCUCACAGCUCUGCAUCUUCCUCGCCUUGCUCUGGGGCACGCUGAUAGUAGGAAGCUGCAACAACUGAGGAGCUUCCUUCUGAAAUUUGAUCUGUACCUCCAUAAAAGUGUCAGGACGUUUUCCCUGAGCAUCAAACCGUGUGCCCAAACUGACUCUGACAGGAAGUUUAGAUAACAAAAUAUUUCCAAAACAAAUGUCACAAUGAAGCAUUUUUAUUACUCUGUCCUCGUUUUUCUUGUGUUUUAAUGCGUUUGCGGGUGGUUUGGAGCAUGUGUGUCUGUCUUAACUCCUAAACCAAAUAUUUUGCUGGAAUAUGAACCCUUGUUGAUGUAGUCUGCAUAAAAGGUCAUUUAGUGGCUACAAGAAGGCAAUAAUAAAGCAUGUCACCGUGUGUAGUAGCUCAGUUCAUCGCAGCUCGGUAUAGUUUCAAAGCCAGGGCCAAGCUUUCUUUUUCUUUUCUUUUCUUUCUUUUUUUUUAAACCCAUCACUUUGAUUUUCAAACUAGUGGCUCAAGAAAACAUUGCUUUAGGCAUCUAUGUAACUUCAAGCAUGACAUUGAUUAUCUUAGCUUCAUAAUUAUCUCCACAUGUUACUGUACCACUGUAUUUCACAUGCAGACUAGGCUG
Long non-coding RNA from Oreochromis aureus, 1577 nucleotides. Lineage: Eukaryota; Metazoa; Chordata; Actinopteri; Cichliformes; Cichlidae. The record is from Ensembl.